AAUGAGGGAAGGCCGGGUUCGGGGCCCCCGGGAGCCUUUGUGUGGGGCCCUCACUCACCCAUCUUUCCUCUUGGCUUUGUACACAUGCCCGUAGGUGCCUCUGCCAACUUUGCAGCCCUCGUACUCAAACAGGUCCUCCACUCGCUCCCUCUCCCCUGUCAGCUUCACCUUGAAGUCAUAGUCCAUGUCGAGCGGCCGGUGUGGGAGGCGCAGAGGCCGGGGGAAGGUGCAGCAUGUACAGCCCGGCCCGUGGACAGAAGCUGCACGAUCCGCAGCUUCACAACAGCCGGUCUCAGACACUCCGAGACACCGUAAAGCGCCGCCGCCGCCGCAAGGAUGCCGUAAAGGAAGACCGUCCCCGCCCCUUCUCCUGCUGCAGGCCACGCCCCCUCCGCUCAGACAACAGAGCCAAGCAGAGCGUGGCUGCCACCGGGGUGACCUGGGCUGACCCCUGACCCUGGGAGAGGGAAUCUAACAGGGGAGGGGGGCCUGAAUGUCUUCAACCCCCAAACUGAGGCUCUCAGAGUGCACUGAGCACAGUCUAGGCCACAGCAGCUAGAAUGGCCUUGGAUGGCUGGGCAGUAUGGGAGUGGUAGUCCUAAUCAGGUAGAAGGAGCUAUGGCAAUGCUUAGUGUGACACAGCUGCCAUUAGGAAGCCAGUGAUCAGAG
Molecule: non-coding RNA, 669 nt
Organism: Pelobates cultripes (western spadefoot toad)
Lineage: Eukaryota; Metazoa; Chordata; Amphibia; Anura; Pelobatidae
Source: the annotation of a GenBank genome assembly